AGCUUUUCAAAUCCAUGCUGAGAUUUCGUCAGAAAUCAACCCAUUAGGGCUGAUCAGACUUUCAAGAUAAGUGAAGUU
Schistosoma haematobium is the source of this 78-nucleotide non-coding RNA. The record is from Rfam. Lineage: Eukaryota; Metazoa; Platyhelminthes; Trematoda; Strigeidida; Schistosomatidae.